GUGAAUCAUCAAAUUUUUGAACGCAUAUUGCGCUCUCUGGUAUUCCGGAGAGUAUGCCUGUUUGAGGGUAAGUAAAAACAAUCUUUAACCAAUUUUGGUGGGCAAAGGAAAUGAGUUCUCCGCAUUGAUAGCGGGAGCUGGAAAUAAAUGGUCAGGUCUCAUGUUAGUCGAGACGCGUAAUAAUAUUAUGUCGCGAGAUCUUUAUUAGUUGACUAGCAAGUUUGGAUGCAUACGAAUGUGUGUUGUGUGCGAUCAAUACAAAUAUUUUGAACAUUAC
Molecule: unclassified non-coding RNA, 277 nt
Filed under: Ambisporaceae sp.
Lineage: Eukaryota; Fungi; Glomeromycota; Glomeromycetes; Archaeosporales; Ambisporaceae
Description: partial contains 5.8S ribosomal RNA and internal transcribed spacer 2
Rfam family: 5.8S ribosomal RNA (bases 1-71)
Source: RNAcentral